CCCAUUAGCAUUGUGGAGAGGUUCUACAUGCCCUCUACGAGUGUGACCCCAAGAAGCCAUCCUUGAACUCCAUGUAAGUUUAAUGAGGCAUACCUGGGAAGACAGGAUCUCCCAACUGAAAAGCACCUGUUGAGUUCACUGAAGUCACAAGGAUGAAGAAUAAAGAAAGUGACCUGAUUACUCACCUCCAAUCCGCUCUAAACCAGCUUGAGGGGCUCCCACACACUCCCUUCUGUCUGCACGCCAUGACCAAAUGUAUCAUCAAAUCCGCCAGGUGCUCUGCAGGCUGCCAUGAAACCAGAGCUCCCUGAAAUUGGCUCCAGCACAGAUUCCUGGGUCUCACCCAAAAGCUGUGGAAUCAGGCUUCAGGGGAGCGUCCAGAGUGGAUGGAUGUAUUGUUUAACAAGCACC
Lontra canadensis (Northern American river otter) is the source of this 411-nucleotide long non-coding RNA. RefSeq lists it as uncharacterized. The record is from RefSeq and is a predicted model, not a curated record. NCBI's taxonomy places the organism in Eukaryota, Metazoa, Chordata, Mammalia, Carnivora, Mustelidae. The transcript has 5 exons.